This 253-nucleotide ribosomal RNA is filed under the name uncultured bacterium. Its description in RNAcentral is "partial 16S ribosomal RNA". It matches the Rfam family "Bacterial small subunit ribosomal RNA", at positions 524 to 776 of the family's 1533-position model. RNAcentral also lists the same sequence under 1 other name. The record is from RNAcentral.
UACGUAGGGUGCGAGCGUUAAUCGGAAUUACUGGGCGUAAAGCGUGCGCAGGCGGUUAUGUAAGACAGAGGUGAAAUCCCCGGGCUCAACCUGGGAACUGCCUUUGUGACUGCAUGGCUAGAGUGCGGCAGAGGGGGAUGGAAUUCCGCGUGUAGCAGUGAAAUGCGUAGAUAUGCGGAGGAACACCGAUGGCGAAGGCAAUCCCCUGGGCCUGCACUGACGCUCAUGCACGAAAGCGUGGGGAGCAAACAGG